Molecule: ribosomal RNA, 256 nt
Filed under: uncultured bacterium
Lineage: Bacteria
Description: partial 16S ribosomal RNA
Rfam family: Bacterial small subunit ribosomal RNA
Source: RNAcentral
UACGUAGGGUGCAAGCGUUAAUCGGAAUUACUGGGCGUAAAGCGUGCGCAGGCGGUUUUGUAAGUCUGUCGUGAAAUCCCCGGGCUCAACCUGGGAAUUGCGAUGGAGACUGCAAGGCUAGAAUCUGGCAGAGGGGGGUAGAAUUCCACGUGUGAGCAGUGAAAUGCGUAGAGAUGUGGAGGAACACCGAUGGCGAAGGCAGCCCCCCGGGUCAAGAUUGACGCUCCAUGCACGAAAGGCGUGGGGAGCAAACAGG